GGCCCGCAGUGCGAAUGUGAUGCACUACAAUACACACUAAAAAUGUCUAAAUGUGUCUUCGAUUGCUAUCAAAACCGUAAAUCCACCAUCUCUAAGAAGCCAGGGCUUUUCUUCGUCUCAUCGGCCCCCAUGAUGUCACAGUUAUAAAAGUAGAUGAUGAAAGAACCAACAAAAAAGAUGAUGAUAUCAUCUGUAUAAUAGAAAACCAAACAACUACAGAACCCAAACCUCAAACAACUGACGGGCAAGAAAUAGACGUAGAAGAUCAGAUUCAAUGGAGUUUGGUGGGGUCAAGUAAACAUUUUGAAGGAUAAAGUGGAUAACUCAGAAAAUUUCAUUAAAGAGGAAAAUGAAACUAUUUCGGAUGAAGAUGUAAUUAUCGUAGAAGAGAAGAAGAUAGAAUAUUUUGACAAAAGUGAGACUGAGGGUGAAAAUGAAUUCCACAUCGAGUAUUCGCAAUUCCUGAAUAAGUUUUACACUUUGAAUAAAGUAAAUAACAAGAAAAAGUCGAAACAGACAGAAACUAAGCGGAAAAAGUUGGAUUAUAAAGUCGGUCAGACGUCUAUACCAAAAGAAGCUGUAACGAAGCCGACGAAAUGUUCAUCAACCUCUAUAGAGUUGGACACAGCAUCAUUUUUAGGCACAAAACCACAAUCCACAACAAAGCCAACAUUCACAAAACCACAUUUCGGGAUAGCCACAAAUGCAUUAAAUACUCAAAAUGCAUCUACACAACAAUUCGUAAGAUAUUUACCGUCACAAAACGCAAGUACAGCACCAAUCGUAAUAGCACCACCAAAUGUAUCAACAUCACAAUGUCCGAUAGCCCCACAAUGCGCAAUAACACCACUUAACAUAUGAACACCAAAACUCGUGAUAGCACCACAAGACCCUACUAAGCAGCUACUAACAUUUAUAACCAAUGAACUUUCGCUUUGAAGGAAUAAAACGGGGUAGCGUUUUAUUAAAGGAGAGAAACACGCAAACAUAUAAUAAACAAUACUGUAGCGUUGGUGAGCAAAAAUCAAGAUCAAUUCCAACCGAUUAUUGUGAAAACCAAAAAUAUUAGUAUCUUGUUGUGUUCAGUGAAGUAAAAUCUAAUUUGUAUUAAAUUAAGUCAUACGUGUUGAAUAACGUAAUGUAGGAGACAGGAAAAUGAGCCGCACUUUUGAAGUGAAGUUGCACUUUUAUUUUGACCGUACCUUUAUCCAACUUAUCUGUGUCUUAUUUAUCUGAUCUUGCCAGAGGAGUGGCGACGAAUAGUCAAACGUGCCACAACACUUAAGUGAUGACCACCACCGCUCUGCCAAGAGUGAACCGACUGAGAAGAUUUAUCUUAAUUUUAAUUUUAUUUCUUCCUGCUGGGUGCAAGUAUAUAGGGAUUAGACCCACCAAAUUGCUCCACCACGCCUUGACGGGCAAAAAUUUCAUUUUUUCAAGUGUACUAACUUUUGAAACGUCAAGUAUGUCUGUUUGUAGUCACUCUAUCACCUGUACGAAAGGCAGAUUCUUGCGUGAAGAAAAGGGCAUGAAACUCAGCUGUUGCUUUCUUCUUCAUAAUUUUAAAAACUAGUCAAAAGACAAUCGUAUCGCAUUUUAAACCAUUACUUAUUAAUUAA
Pararge aegeria (speckled wood butterfly) is the source of this 1619-nucleotide long non-coding RNA. RefSeq lists it as uncharacterized. The record is from RefSeq and is a predicted model, not a curated record. Lineage: Eukaryota; Metazoa; Arthropoda; Insecta; Lepidoptera; Nymphalidae. The transcript has 3 exons.